Heterocephalus glaber (naked mole-rat) is the source of this 1634-nucleotide long non-coding RNA. The record is from Ensembl. Lineage: Eukaryota; Metazoa; Chordata; Mammalia; Rodentia; Bathyergidae.
AUCGCCGCGUGGACCCGGUCACUGAAGCUGCGGGCGGGCUUCGGCGCCACCUGGCGGCGAGGCGCGGCACUGCAGGCGCUCCCGGGGCUGUCGGCGCGUCGCUGUUCUCGCGUCGUUGUUUUAGUGUCUACAGCUCCAGAUGUGUCAAUAAAAUGUUAAAGUCAAACUUGAUAGAGAAGCAGCAGUUUGGACAUAUUUCUUUUCUUUUUUCGGUACCGGGGAUCGAACUCUGGUUCUUGCGCUUGCGAGGCAGGUGGCAGAACCACUGAGCUACAUCCCCAGCAGCAUUACUAUUUAUUUCCCCAGUUUUAUUUAUUAAGUUUUAAGCUUUUCCCAUUUUAUUUAGAUAUAAUUAGCAAAUAAAAUUGUAUAUUUUUAUGGGAUACAACACGUUUUCAGGUAGAACAUUUAAAACACUGGCUCCAGUAAAAUUCUACACAUUGCAUUUGAAACAGUAAAUGUCCCUCCUGUCUUCUUUUUUCUUCUUCUUUUUUCUCUCUCCCUUCCUUUUUCCUUUCCUUCCCUUCUCCUCCUUUCCUCUCUCCUUCUCUUUCUUUUUUCCCUUCCUUUCUUGCUGGGGUUUGAAUCCAGUGCCUGGCACUGGGCCACAUCCUUCACCCUUUGUGAGAUAGGAUCUUGCUAGAUUGCCCAGGUGGUCAAGAGCUUGUGACCCCCCCGCCUCAGCCUCCUGAGUGGCUGGGAUUACAGUUGUGCCCCACUGCUCCUGGCUCUCCAUCUCUGUAGUCUGAAACAAUCCAGUCCUUUUUCUUCUUAGAAUUGACUUUUUUUUUUUGGUACUGGGGACCAAACUUGUGUCCUUGCACUUGCGAGGCAGGCAGCGGAACCACUGAGCUAAAUCCCUGGCCCUAGAAUUGACUUUUUGAAGAGGCGAGGAUAGAUGCCAGGCAAGUGCUCUGCCGAGGAACUGCCUUCCAGCCCCAGAUAAACGUUUUUGCAGUCAAUAUAGCUUUUCUGUAAGAGUUGUCAUAGCCAUAACCAUCGUCCUACCUCUAAGUAGAAGUCCCUACCAGCAGAAUUUUAGCACUAUCUAUAGUUCAAAAUAAUUGAGAAAAAAAUCAAUAAAUACAACAUAAUACUACAAAAUUAUUUGUCUACUGAAAGACCUGUUUUGAAAAUUUAUAGGUUAAGGCAGUCAAAUUGUAGUUGUUAUCAGUGAAGCUUCAGGUAUUUUACUUAAAAAUGUUUUAGUAAUUUACUUGAGCUGUGUGCACUGGUACACACCUAUAACCCCAGUGCUCAGGAGGCUGAGGCAGGAGGAUCUUGAAUUUGAGGCCAGCCUGGGCUCUGCAGCAAGUUCAGUCCAAUUGUGGAUUACAUGGUGAGACUCUUGUCUCACAAAAAAAGUGUUUUAGCAACUUACAUAAAAUGUAAAAUGUGAAAGAUACUUUUUGCUGAUCCCUUGGAAAUGAAAGUAUUGACAUCUAAAAUAACAGCCUAUUUUAUUGUGAGUAUUUGAGAAAAACGUACAUGUUUAGAUUUUUAACUGUGUAGCCUGGGAGAGAGCUGAUGUUUGCAGGCCAAAGUUUUACAAAAUUUUCUGAACAUUUUAAGUUGGAACUGUAAUUCACCACAUUAAAGCGCAUGUCUUUGACGAUAUAAAUCUGUGAAUAAAC